Long non-coding RNA from Fopius arisanus, 805 nucleotides. RefSeq lists it as uncharacterized. NCBI's taxonomy places the organism in Eukaryota, Metazoa, Arthropoda, Insecta, Hymenoptera, Braconidae. The record is from RefSeq and is a predicted model, not a curated record. The transcript has 6 exons.
UCUGUGGUGGACGGUCUUUCGACUCGCAAUCCAGUCAAAUCAGCGAGUAACUGCAGUACAAAGUCAUUCUGGGAAACACCUCCAUCUACACUAGUGACUCGUACAACAACAAAAUUCGAAAUACAAUGCUUUCCAGAACGGCUCGAGCCAUAUGUGCUUUUCCAGACGUUGGUUUGACGCCUAAAAAUCCUGUUGCUGCUGACUGAUCAUUAAUUGGUGCCUGAGACAAAGAAUGUGAUUGAGUGCCCAAGCUAAGCGCAAAGUCAUCUGAAACAAGUCAGAGGUCAUGAAUAAAUAACGCAGGGCAUUAUUCAUAGAUGUGUGUGGAUAGUAAACGUCAAGUGAUAACCCUGCAUAUUCAUCAAAGAAAGUCAUCAGCGUAUACCAAGACUCCAGUGUCGAAAACACGUGUCUGCCAUCGCCACCAGAAGAGAGUUCCCCACUGCUUUGGAGUUUAUUUUCGAAAUGAUAUUGGUAAUACGAUCAGAUAUGAAUAAUAAUCGAUCAUUCUCAUGAACGAUGGACAUUGGAGUUUAUCGAUCAGAGGAGACUUUGCAAAAUUGUAAAUCCAGAGAGAUGAAAUUGUUGAUUGGCGGCACGCAGUGGCAAUGUGAUGACACAGAGCUCGAUUCGCCCAAAAAACUGCGUCAUAUGGGAAGACUUUGAUGGCCUCACUGUAGCAUGCCAUAGCUUUGUCCCAUUUUUGCUGUUUAACGAAAAAAAUCAACUUACGGCAUCGAAGUUAUCCCACGCAGAGUAAUCGUACGACUUGAUACGCUUGCAUUUGCUGCCGUUGUCUUUACUU